GAUUGACUACUAAAACAACUUUUAGCAAUGGAUCUCUUGGUUCUCGCAUCGAUGAAGAGCGUAGCAAAUUGCGAUAAUUAGUGCGAAUUGCAGACUUUGUGAAUCAUCGAGUU
Molecule: ribosomal RNA, 113 nt
Filed under: Circinella muscae
Lineage: Eukaryota; Fungi; Mucoromycota; Mucoromycetes; Mucorales; Lichtheimiaceae
Description: 5.8S ribosomal RNA
Rfam family: 5.8S ribosomal RNA (bases 17-113)
About the family: 5.8S ribosomal RNA (5.8S rRNA) is a component of the large subunit of the eukaryotic ribosome. It is transcribed by RNA polymerase I as part of the 45S precursor that also contains 18S and 28S rRNA.
Source: RNAcentral